Molecule: long non-coding RNA, 1552 nt
Organism: Oncorhynchus gorbuscha (pink salmon)
Lineage: Eukaryota; Metazoa; Chordata; Actinopteri; Salmoniformes; Salmonidae
Exons: 3
Source: RefSeq, a predicted model, not a curated record
GUGAGAAGAUUCCCUUGGGCAGGUCGCUGAUGUGGUUGCCAUCCAGGUAGAGGUAAGUGAGCUCGGUGAGGUCCUCGAAGGCACCUGGCUUGAUGCUGGUGAUCUCGUUGUUGGACAGGUAGAGGUAGAUUAGCUUCUUGAGUCCCUUGAAGGCCUGGCCGCCAAUCUCAUGGAGCUGGCAGUGCUGCAUGUGCAACGAGAUGAGACCCUUGCUGCUGGCGAAGGAGCCAGUGGGCAGGCUGCCCAGGUUGUUCCUUUGCAGGUUGAGCAGACGGGUGGCCUCGGACACCUGCGGGAUCUUCUUCAGCCCCACGUUGUCACAGAUGACAUGCUGCAGGUCCCCAUGGCAGUGACACUGAGCCGGGCACUGGCUGGGGGCGCCCCAAACAGCCGGGCCGAGGACCAGCAGGCAAGUCCCCACCAACAGGAAGCUCACACACGGCAUACUGACGCCACUACUCUGCUCAGUCUCUCCACCUGGUCUGUCUUCUGUCUUCUUGAGAGCUUCUUCUUACUGCUUGACAGGCACUCUAAGCUAGAAAUUCCUCCAGAAAGCCUCAGGGAGAUAGAAAGAGAGAGCAAAAGGAUUCAGAAAGGGAAGGCAAGAGGUGAAUGGUGUGAAAGAGGGGGAGAGUGAGAGUGCACGUGACUGAGAGAGGAGGGCAGUGCAAAAAAGAUUCACUCCAGGCUUUGAGAGGAGGAUGGAACGGCAGUCAACAGAACACAGCACUAUUUAUAACAUUUAUUUAAGGAAAAAAUUGAGAAGGGCUUGCCAGGGUGUUACGUGGAGACCGCGGGGCUGCAAGAGGAAGUCAAGUGUCUUUGACAGUUUAACCCUGCACAUGCCGGAGGACAGGUCGGGGAUCUUCCACUGACCAUAAUUGCCUAUGGAACUAUGGAGAACAGACCCGUGACAUUCUGUGGCUUCCCAUGAGACAACUUGGUGAGAAAGUCACAAACUUGGAUGCAUUACCAAUAACUUAGCGGCUAAGGUAGUUGACCCUGGCUCUGGAGAGCUCAAGCCUCUUCAGGGACUACUGUAUGAUGCUGGAGUACUCUGGGAAGGCCGUUGCCAAGACAGAUGAGUGCAUCACCAAAGAAUCAAAGCCAUUGUGUUGAACUCAAUUGUACCAACAUUUUUGCAGAACCCGUUGGACCAAUGUUAUGUUUUAGCAGGCACAGGUUAACAGGAAAGGGAGGCCAUGUACAGCAAAGUGCCUUACACAGCACAGUCAGCUAAACACCGACAGCCAAAAGAUUUUGCACUAUUUUUAGGACCAACCCUGAUUAUCUUGUGACAGCCUUGAAAACCACCUCAUCAAUCUGUGACUGUGACAAGCUGUGACAAUCUGUGACAAGCUGCUUUUUACACCAAAUAAAAGGUUUUACACUUUUUAGCCAUGUUACCAAAUCUCUAGGGACCAAGAGUUGAGAGUUGAAGGACCUCUACCUGCCUUUUUACAGUGCAUUUGGAAAGUAAUUCAGACCCUUUCACUUUCUCCUAAUGCUAAUCUUAUUCUAAAAUGUAUUAAAUCGUUUUUUUCUACACACA